GGCCUUGUGGCCUAAUGGAUAAGGCGUCGGACUUCGGAUCCGAAGAUUGCAGGUUC
Molecule: transfer RNA, 56 nt
Filed under: Haemonchus placei
Lineage: Eukaryota; Metazoa; Nematoda; Chromadorea; Rhabditida; Trichostrongylidae
Rfam family: tRNA
About the family: Transfer RNA (tRNA) molecules are approximately 80 nucleotides in length. Their secondary structure includes four short double-helical elements and three loops (D, anti-codon, and T loops).
Source: Rfam by way of RNAcentral